RNAcentral lists this ribosomal RNA (503 nucleotides) under uncultured bacterium. RNAcentral describes it as "bacterial SSU rRNA". It matches the Rfam family "Bacterial small subunit ribosomal RNA", at positions 28 to 524 of the family's 1533-position model. The record is from RNAcentral.
GACGAACGCUGGCGGCGUGGAUUAGGCAUGCAAGUCGAACGGUAUCAUCCUUUCGGGGGUGAGAGAGUGGCGAACUGGUGAGUAACACGUAGGUUAUCUACCCUCAAGACGGGGACAACCCAGGGAAACUUGGGCUAAUACCGGAUGUGAGCAACUUUUAGUUGUUUGAAAGGUGGCGUAAGCUGUCGCUUGGGGAUGAGCCUGCGUCCUAUUAGUUAGUUGGUGAGGUAACGGCUCACCUAGGCAAUGAUAGGUAGGCGGCCUUAACGGGUGGUCGCCCACACUGGGAUUGAGAUACGGCCCAGACUCCUACGGGAGCAGCAGUCGAGAAUAGUCUACAAUGGUCGGAAGACUGAUAGUGCGACGCCGCGUGAACGAUGAAUCCCUUCGGGGUGUAAAGUUCUUUUAUAUGUGAGCAGUGCUUCUUAUAUUAACAGUAUGGGGAAGAGAUAUUAGCAUAUGAAUAAGCAACGGCUAACUCCGUGCCCAGCAGCCGCGGUAAU